UGCUCUAACAUGGAAGGAUGUCUCCAGAGGAAGAUGGCACAGAAUAUCAGAUCUGCCCAAAUGAGAUCCCUCUCUCUAGAAGACUGGCCUUUUAUGUCCUACCUGCUUUGGUAGUUCUGGGUGACUACAAACAGAAAUGAAAAGAUCAACAACUCCCAAGUGGAAGAAACUUUUUGACAUUAGAAAGAAGUGCUCAGUUACAUAUCAAAGCCACAGUGAUAUGGACCAACAUGGCUGCUGGGAAUGCAAAAUGGGUACAGCCAUUGUGGAAGGUUGUUUGGAAGUUUCUUACAAAACUAAACACACCCUCACUGUAUCAUCCUGCAGUCACACCACUUGGUAUACAAAUGGGUUGAAAAUUCAUGUCUAUACAAAUACCUGCUCAAGGAUGUUUGGAACAGCUUUAAACUUGGAAGCAUGUCCUCCAGUGGGUGAUUGGAUAAAUAAACUUGUGUGUCCAUCCAGACAGUGGGGCUGUUAUUCCUUACUAAAGAUAAAUGAGCUAUCAAACCAUAAAAAGACAUGAAGCAACCUUGAAUGCAUAUGAUUAAGUGAAAAAAGCCAAUCUAAAAAAGAUUCACAAAAAUAAAAUAAAAAGUCAAAAGGCUACAUAGUGUGUGAUGCCAACUAUAUGACAUUCUGGAAAAUCAAAACUAUGGAGACAAUGAAACAAUCAGUGACUGCCAGGAGUUGGAGUGGGUGAAUAGGGAUGAAUGGCUGGAACACAGAGGAUUUUUAGGACAGCAAAACUAUUCUGUAUGACACUGUAAUGAUGGAUACAUGUCAUCAGACAUUUGUCAAAACCUAUGAAAGGCACAGCAUCAAAAGUGAACUCUAAUAUAAACUAUGGUCUUUGGGCAAUAAUAACAUGUCAGUGUAUGGUCAUCGAUUGUAACAAAUGUACCAAUCUGGUUGGGGAUGUUGACAGUGGGGGAGGCUAUGUGCGUGGAGGGGUAGGGCAUAUAUGGUAAAUCAGUGUACUUUCUGCUCAAUUUUUCUGUAAGCCUAAAACUACUCCCAAAAAUAAAUAUUUGUUGUUGUUGUU
Long non-coding RNA from Felis catus (domestic cat), 1045 nucleotides. RefSeq lists it as uncharacterized. The record is from RefSeq and is a predicted model, not a curated record. Lineage: Eukaryota; Metazoa; Chordata; Mammalia; Carnivora; Felidae. The transcript is spliced from 2 exons.